GAUGAACGCUGGCGGCGUGCCUAAUACAUGCAAGUCGAGCGAACAGACGAGGAGCUUGCUCCUCUGACGUUAGCGGCGGACGGGUGAGUAACACGUGGAUAACCUACCUAUAAGACUGGGAUAACUUCGGGAAACCGGAGCUAAUACCGGAUAAUAUAUUGAACCGCAUGGUUCAAUAGUGAAAGACGGUUUUGCUGUCACUUAUAGAUGGAUCCGCGCCGCAUUAGCUAGUUGGUAAGGUAACGGCUUACCAAGGCAACGAUGCGUAGCCGACCUGAGAGGGUGAUCGGCCACACUGGAACUGAGACACGGUCCAGACUCCUACGGGAGGCAGCAGUAGGGAAUCUUCGGCAAUGGGCGAAAGCUUGACGGAGCAACGCCGCGUGAGUGAUGAAGGUCUUCGGAUCGUAAAACUCUGUUAUUAGGGAAGAACAAAUGUGUAAGUAACUAUGCACGUCUUGACGGUACCUAAUCAGAAAGCCACGGCUAACUACGUG
This 497-nucleotide ribosomal RNA is filed under the name uncultured bacterium. RNAcentral's name for it is "partial 16S ribosomal RNA". It matches the Rfam family "Bacterial small subunit ribosomal RNA", at positions 28 to 507 of the family's 1533-position model. The record is from RNAcentral.